RNAcentral lists this ribosomal RNA (207 nucleotides) under uncultured bacterium. RNAcentral describes it as "partial 16S ribosomal RNA". It matches the Rfam family "Bacterial small subunit ribosomal RNA", at positions 568 to 774 of the family's 1533-position model. The record is from RNAcentral.
UGCGUAGGUGGUGAGGUAAGUCGGAUGUGAAAUCUCGGAGCUCAACUCCGAAAUGGCAUUGGAAACUACCUUGCUCGAGGGUUGGAGGGGGGACUGGAAUACUUGGUGUAGCAGUGAAAUGCGUAGAUAUCAAGUGGAACACCAGUGGCGAAGGCGAGUCCCUGGACAACUCCUGACACUGAGGCACGAAAGCUAGGGGAGCAAACA